GCCGAUGUGAUGAAACUGGUAAACAUGCGCGACUCAAAAUCGCGUGCUUUCGGGCUUGUGGGUUCAACUCCCACCAUCGGCA
This 82-nucleotide transfer RNA is filed under the name Patescibacteria group bacterium. Its description in RNAcentral is "tRNA-Leu". It matches the Rfam family "tRNA". From Rfam's summary of the family: Transfer RNA (tRNA) molecules are approximately 80 nucleotides in length. Their secondary structure includes four short double-helical elements and three loops (D, anti-codon, and T loops). Further hydrogen bonds mediate the characteristic L-shaped molecular structure. tRNAs have two regions of fundamental functional importance: the anti-codon, which is responsible for specific mRNA codon recognition, and the 3' end, to which the tRNAs corresponding amino acid is attached (by aminoacyl-tRNA synthetases). tRNAs cope with the degeneracy of the genetic code in two manners: having more than one tRNA (with a specific anti-codon) for a particular amino acid; and 'wobble' base-pairing, i.e. permitting non-standard base-pairing at the 3rd anti-codon position. The record is from RNAcentral.